RNAcentral lists this ribosomal RNA (700 nucleotides) under gamma proteobacterium S10-6. RNAcentral describes it as "bacterial SSU rRNA". It matches the Rfam family "Bacterial small subunit ribosomal RNA", at positions 401 to 1094 of the family's 1533-position model. Lineage: Bacteria; Pseudomonadati; Pseudomonadota; Gammaproteobacteria. The record is from RNAcentral.
GUGUGAAGAAGGCCUUCGGGUUGUAAAGCUCUUUCACUAGGGAGGAAGGUUUUGGGCUAAUACCCUGAAGUACUUGACGUUACCUACCCAAGAACCACCGGCUAAUUUCGGGCCAGCACCCGCGGUAAUACUAAAGGUGCGAGCGUUAAUCGAAAUUACUGGGAGUAAAGCGCGCGAAAGCGGGGUGUUAAAUCGGAUGUGAAACCCCAGGGCUCAACCUUGUAAUUGCAUCCGAUACUGGCGCGCUUCAGUGCGGAAAAGGGAGGUGGAAUUUCCGGUGUAGCAAUGAAAUGGGUAAAGAUCGGAAGGAACACCAGUGCCGAAGGCGGCCUCCUGAACUGACACUGACACUGAGGUGCAAAAGCCUGGGGAGCAAACAGGAUUAAAUACCCUGGUAGUCCACCCCGUAAACUAUGUCUACUAGCCGUUGGGGUCCUUAUUGACUUUGGUGGCGCAGCUAACGCGAUAAGUAUACCGCCUGGGGAGUACGGCCGCAAGGUUAAAACUCAAAUGAAUUGAGGGGGGCCCGCACAAGCGGUGGAGCAUGUGGUUUAAUUCGAUGCCACCCUAAGAACCUUACCAAGCCUUGACAUCCUGCGAACUUUCUAGAGAUAGAUUGCUGCCUUCGGGAGCGCAGUGACAGGUGCUGCAUGGCUGUCGUCAGCUCGUGUCGUGAGAUGUUGGGUUAAGUCCCGUAACG